CCUACGGGAGGCAGCAGUGAGGAAUAUUGGUCAAUGGACGAAAGUCUGAACCAGCCAAGUAGCGUGAAGGAUGACGGCCCUAUGGUUUGUAAACUUCUUUUAUAGGGGAAUAAAGUGAUCCACGUGUGGGAUUUUGUAUGUACCAUAUGAAUAAGGAUAGGCUAACUCCGUGCCAGCAGCCGCGGUAAUACGGAGGAUGCGAGCGUUAUCCGGAUUUAUUGGGGUUAAAGGGCGCGUAGGUUGAUUGUUAAGUCAGUGGUGAAAGUUUGUGGCUCAACCGUAAAAUUGCAGUUGAAACUGGAAGUCUUGAGUACAGUAGAGGUGGGCGGAAUUCGUGGUGUAGCGGUGAAAUGCUUAGAUAUCACGAAGAACUCCGAUUGCGAAGGCAGCUCACUGGACUGCAACUGACACUGAGGCUCGAAAGUGUGGGUAUCAAACAGGAUUAGAUACCCCAGUAGUC
RNAcentral lists this ribosomal RNA (460 nucleotides) under uncultured bacterium. RNAcentral describes it as "partial 16S ribosomal RNA". It matches the Rfam family "Bacterial small subunit ribosomal RNA", at positions 338 to 795 of the family's 1533-position model. The record is from RNAcentral.